Molecule: ribosomal RNA, 497 nt
Filed under: uncultured bacterium
Lineage: Bacteria
Description: partial 16S ribosomal RNA
Rfam family: Bacterial small subunit ribosomal RNA
Source: RNAcentral
GAUGAACGCUGGCGGCGUGCCUAAUACAUGCAAGUCGAGCGAACAGAUGAGGAGCUUGCUCCUCUGACGUUAGCGGCGGACGGGUGAGUAACACGUGGAUAACCUACCUAUAAGACUGGGAUAACUUCGGGAAACCGGAGCUAAUACCGGAUAAUAUAUUGAACCGCAUGGUUCAAUAGUGAAAGACGGUUUUGCUGUCACGUAUAGAUGGAUCCGCGCCGCAUUAGCUAGUUGGUAAGGUAACGGCUUACCAAGGCAACGAUGCGUAGCCGACCUGAGAGGGUGAUCGCCCACACUGGAGCUGAGACACGGUCCAGACUCCUACGAGAGGCAGCAGUAGGGAAUCUUCCGCAAUGGGCGAAAGCCUGACGGAACAACGCCGCGUGAGUGAUGAAGGUCUUCGGAUCGUAAAACUCUGUUAUUAGGGAAGAACAAAUGUGUAAGUAACUAUGCACGUCUUGACGGUACCUAAUCAGAAAGCCACGGCUAACUACGUG